GACGAACGCUGGCGGCGUGCUUAACACAUGCAAGUCGAACGGUAAGGCCCUUCGGGGUACACGAGUGGCGAACGGGUGAGUAACACGUGGGUGAUCUGCCCUGCACUUCGGGAUAAGCCUGGGAAACUGGGUCUAAUACUGGAUAGGACCAUUGCCUGCAUGGGUGGUGGUGGAAAGCUUUUGCGGUGUGGGAUGGGCCCGCGGCCUAUCAGCUUGUUGGUGGGGUGAUGGCCUACCAAGGCGACGACGGGGAGCCGGCCUGAGAGGGUGACCGGCCACACUGGGACUGAGAUACGGCCCAGACUCCUACGGGAGGCAGCAGUGGGGAAUAUUGCACAAUGGGCGCAAGCCUGAUGCAGCGACGCCGCGUGAGGGAUGACGGCCUUCGGGUUGUAAACCUCCUUCAGCACCGACGAAGCGCAAGUGACGGUAGGUGCAGAAGAAGGACCGGCCAACUACGUGCCAGCCGCCGCGGUAA
Molecule: ribosomal RNA, 478 nt
Filed under: uncultured bacterium
Lineage: Bacteria
Description: partial 16S ribosomal RNA
Rfam family: Bacterial small subunit ribosomal RNA
Source: RNAcentral